This 554-nucleotide ribosomal RNA is filed under the name Anthracocystis elionuri. RNAcentral's name for it is "LSU rRNA". It matches the Rfam family "Eukaryotic large subunit ribosomal RNA", at positions 125 to 660 of the family's 3401-position model. The record is from RNAcentral. Lineage: Eukaryota; Fungi; Basidiomycota; Ustilaginomycetes; Ustilaginales; Ustilaginaceae.
GCGUCUUCGGCGUCCGCAUUGUAAUCUCAAGAAGUGUUUUCCGCUUCGGACCAUGCCUAAGUCCCUUGGAAAAGGGCAUCAUAGAGGGUGAUAAUCCCGUACAUGGCAUGGAGCGCCCGAGGCUUUGUGAUACGCUUUCUAAGAGUCGAGUUGUUUGGGAAUGCAGCUCAAAAUGGGUGGUAAAUGCCAUCUAAGGCUAAAUAUUGGGGAGAGACCGAUAGCGAACAAGUACAGUGAUGGAAAGAUGAAAAGAACUUUGAAAAGAGAGUUAAACAGUACGUGAAAUUGCCAAAAGGGAAGGGUAGGAGGUCAGAGAUGCGUCUUGGGAUUCAGCCUUGCUUUUGCUUGGUGUUUUUCCCAAGUUGCAGGCCAACGUCGGUUUUGGGCACUGGAGAAGGGUGGAAGGAACGUGGCACCUCUCGGGGUGUGUUAUAGCCUUCUACUGGAUACAGCGACCGAGACCGAGGACAGCAGCGUACUCGCAAGAGCGGGCCUUCGGGCACCUUUACGCUUAGGGCGUUGGCAUAAUGGCCCUCUACCACCCGUCUUGAAAC